This 416-nucleotide unclassified non-coding RNA is filed under the name Leguminivora glycinivorella. RNAcentral's name for it is "basic-leucine zipper transcription factor B-like, transcript variant X2". The record is from RNAcentral. Lineage: Eukaryota; Metazoa; Arthropoda; Insecta; Lepidoptera; Tortricidae.
AGUGUCAGUAAAGCGUAGUGUUCAAUUUUUAUGUUUGGCUUGGUAAAACAAUUUGCUUCUAUUAUUUCCACAUUUUAAACAAAUUUUUACUAUAAUCAUGUCCGACGAUUUUAUACCUUUUAACCAGAGCACGCCUUUGCAAGGGAAAUGGCAAGACAGGAAACAAAACCAAAGUCAACCAAGAUAUCAAAAUAACCGAUUUCAGAACGGGAAUAGAAGAGGAAACAAUCAUAAUAACAGAUGGGGCAAUAAUUCCCAAAGGAAUAGUAGUUUCGGGAGUGACAGUAACAGCAGUUUUGGCAGAGAUAAAAGCAAUAUUGAUGCAUAUUUGCACCCUGCAAUGCUAAAAGACCCUUGGGAGCACCUUCGGCAAGCUAGUCAAUAAGUUUUAUUUAAUGACAAAGGAGGUAAACGAG